GCCCGGCUGAAUACCCGGAAAUCUCAGCCCAAGCCCCAGGGCCCAGCCCCGGCUCGGAGCAUCUGCGAAGCGGCUUUCGGUCGUCCACGCCGGCUGCCUCACCUGGCACACGUCAGCCAGCAUGCAGCGGGGCACUCAGCAUGUCGCCCCAGCACGGGGGAGGCAGAGAUGGGGACUCGGCUUGGGGACCACCCGCUGUGCAGCUCUGCGGAGCAGGAAUGGCACCAGCUAUUAAAUGACGACCGACACAUUGGUUGAAAGGAAGUUUCCAGUAAGGAAGUGACAGUACGAUGCGGAUCAUUAGAGCCGUACAGUAGGAAACGCUUGCGUCCCCAGCCUGCACCUGCCUCUGCUGGGCCUGUUCCAACGUGGUGUUCUCAGAACGCAGAGGAGACGCGAUCGGGUACCGUGUCCCAGCAGCAGCGGGUGCCUGGACAAAUCAUCAGUGUGACUGAGGGCCAAGUGCAGUCCCGUGUACCUUGAUUACAUAAUAUUAAAUAAGAGGUCUGAGUGCCACUAGUUUAAACCGGACUCAUUCAGCUCUUUUUCAAAGAGCUCCCCCUACACCUGCCCCUAAACCAAUUUUUAAGAAGUGGUUUCUCUCCCUGGGGUGGGAGAGCCCUAACGAGCUGACACGAAUUUUCACUUGCAAGUUCUUCUGUCUGGUGUUUUUGUAAUUAUACUAUUAAAGGACUCCGGAGUCAAUGUUAAUGACAA
Leptonychotes weddellii (Weddell seal) is the source of this 717-nucleotide RNA transcript. It is a transcript of the gene named carbohydrate sulfotransferase 7, with no coding region annotated. The record is from RefSeq and is a predicted model, not a curated record. Lineage: Eukaryota; Metazoa; Chordata; Mammalia; Carnivora; Phocidae.